UACUGACGCUAAAGCUCGAAGGUGCGGGUAUCGAACAGGAUUAGAUACCCUGGUAGUCCGCACGGUAAACGAUGGAUGCCCGCUGUUUGCGAUAUACUGUGAGCGGCCAAGAGAAAUCGUUAAGCAUCCCACCUGGGGAGUACGCCGGCAACGGUGAAACUCAAAGGAAUUGACGGGGGCCCGCACAAGCGGAGGAACAUGUGGUUUAAUUCGAUGAUACGCGAGGAACCUUACCCGGGCUUGAACUGCAGGGGAACGAUCCAGAGAUGGUGAGGUCAGCAAUGACCCCUGUGGAGGUGCUGCAUGGUUGUCGUCAGCUCGUGCCGUGAGGUGUCGGCUUAAGUGCCAUAACGAGCGCAACCCCUUUCAUUAGUUGCCAUCACUUCGGGUGGGCACUCUGGUGAUACUGCCACCGUAAGGUGUGAGGAAGGUGGGGAUGACGUCAAAUCAGCACGGCCCUUACGUCCGGGGCUACACACGUGUUACAAUGGGUGAUACAGAGGGCCGGUGCAUGGCAAUGUGCAUCAAAUCUUAAAAGUCAUCCUCAGUUCGGAUUGGGGUCUGCAACCCGACCCCAUGAAGCUGGAUUCGCUAGUAAUCG
This 601-nucleotide ribosomal RNA is filed under the name uncultured bacterium. RNAcentral's name for it is "bacterial SSU rRNA". It matches the Rfam family "Bacterial small subunit ribosomal RNA", at positions 738 to 1344 of the family's 1533-position model. The record is from RNAcentral.